GUGACUGCGUACCUUUUGUAUAAUGGGUCAGCGACUUAUAUUCUGUAGCAAGGUUAACCGUAUAGGGGAGCCGGAGGGAAACCGAGUCUUAACCGGGCGUUAAGUUGCAGGGUAUAGACCCGAAACCCGGUGAUCUAGCCAUGGGCAGGUUGAAGGUUGGGUAACACUAACUGGAGGACCGAACCGACUAAUGUUGAAAAAUGGCGGCAGGCCUUG
Molecule: ribosomal RNA, 216 nt
Filed under: Salmonella enterica subsp. enterica serovar Derby
Lineage: Bacteria; Pseudomonadati; Pseudomonadota; Gammaproteobacteria; Enterobacterales; Enterobacteriaceae
Description: partial 23S ribosomal RNA
Rfam family: Bacterial large subunit ribosomal RNA
Source: RNAcentral